RNAcentral lists this ribosomal RNA (440 nucleotides) under uncultured bacterium. Its description in RNAcentral is "partial 16S ribosomal RNA". It matches the Rfam family "Bacterial small subunit ribosomal RNA", at positions 338 to 795 of the family's 1533-position model. The record is from RNAcentral.
CCUACGGGUGGCAGCAGUGGGGGAUAUUGCACAAUGGGGGGAACUCUGAUGCAGCGACGCCGCGUGGGUGAAGAAGCGCCUCGGCGCGUAAAGCCCUGUCAGCAGGGAAGAAAAUGACGGUACCUGAAGAAGAAGCUCCGGCUAACUACGUGCCAGCAGCCGCGGUAAUACGUAGGGGGCAAGCGUUAUCCGGAUUUACUGGGUGUAAAGGGGGCGCAGACGGCGAUGCAAGCCAGGAGUGAAAGCCCGGGGCUCAACCCCGGGACUGCACUUGGAACUGCGUGGCUGGAGUGCAGGAGGGGCAGGCGGAAUUCCUGGUGUAGCGGUGAAAUGCGUAGAUAUCAGGAAGAACACCGAUGGCGAAGGCAGCCUACUGGACUGCAACUGACGUUGAGGCCCGAAAGCGUGGGGAGCAAACAGGAUUAGAUACCCUAGUAGUC